GGUGAAGUUGGGGAAAGGAACCCUGUGAAGGAGAUGUAGAGUAACAAUAGUACAUCCUGUAGCGGCAGCCUCUUAGGAGUGGGAGGAGAUAGACAGGGUAGCUAGAAAGAGCAGUCUUGUGGUCCACCAAGGAGAUCUAAUGUGGGGUAAACUCACUAGUUUAGGGACUUAAAUGGUUAGGGAAUUCUGCAUAUAAAUCCUUGGAUCACCCUUGCGGCAGCCUGAGACACUACUCUGCUAUGGGGACCAUUUAGGAUUACAUUUUAUCAGUGCUUUUUUAGGACACACAGGGUUAUUCUGAGGACCAGCAAGAAGAAUCCACUUCCCAAUUCAGUUGCAGCUGCCAUUGUGGGGUCCACCUCAUUACCGUCUGCCCAGUAUCAGCCUAUCCUGGGCAUUGAGGAGUCGACCCCACAUUACCUUGGUCCUUGCCAACAUGUAAGCAAGAGGAGUAUGUGCAAGUGACCUUCCAAAUUGGGUUCAUGCCAAAUAUGGCAGUAAGCUCUGUCAAUAACUGAAUAACAGAACUCAGAGGAGCACACACAUGUGGCCUUCCAAAGCAUGCUGAAGGACAACCAGCAAGGACGUUUGUAUCCAGCAAUGGAACGCCCCAUUGUAGUUUACCACAGAAAGCUCAGUGUUGCAGAGUAGACAGAUGCAAAAAGUCAAGAGAUCCCAUAGUCCUACCUGCAGCUGCCCAACUCAAGUGGGUCCUUCAGGGGUGCAGUGGAGGGGCCAUGUGUCCAUAGGGUUAUGGCUAAGCCUUAUCUCAUCUGUGUCAUUCUGUUCCCUACCUACACAAUUCAGGGUACUAUAUUCUCAAUUCCAACCUGAAUUAAACAAAUCAAUCGGUUGAAGGAAAUACAUUUCUAAGGUCAGCAUGCAGGCAGAGGUAAAGGUGCACACACAUUACAUCAGCUUGCAUUGACUUCUGCAGGGAGUAUUCUGUAAUAUAUGUUAACUUCACACACAGACAUGUUCUAAUGUAAAUAAAUAGUUAAAAAUUGUGCUGCAAACUAGCAUUAUAUCAGUGUGUAUGGAAACUGUAAAAAGAAAAGCCUGACUGGAGUGUCACAUAAUAAGUCAGCCACUGGCGAAAGGCUGUAAAAGGCUAGGUGCCUUCUGGCCAAAUAUUUAAACCUCCUACAGAAACACAAAAGACACUUUUUUGUCAGUGUCUGUUAACUGCAAAUAUAGUAUCUCACUGCAAAGUGCUUUUCUUUCUCCCCCAAAGAGCAAGUUAACCUUACAACCCACUAUAUUAUUAUCUGUUUUAUGCUUAUACCUUAUUACAACUGGACCUUGUAUAAUGUAAUUAAUCUAUCUUGCUAUGCCUUAUGGUUACAUUAGGAAUCUCCAGUUUUAUUAAGCCUGGCAGUAGUCAAGUACCUGAGGGCAUCUCCUAAAGAAAAAGGUGGGUACUCAUUGACAGAAGAGUGUGCUGAGAUUACAUUUGCACACUUUUCCUUAGAGAAUAUUCUCUUCUUUCAAACAAAAAAUAAGGAUGUAAAAAUGUAUUCGCUUUAUGCUGCUUUAUUUGAAUUGUUCAAUAAUUCACAUUUAUUCAAAAAGUAAUAAAAGUAUUGUUUGUGUAAUAUGAACUAUUCAGGCAUUACAGAAAUCUUUUUCAGUUGCAGCCUUCAUAUUCU
This is a long non-coding RNA of Xenopus tropicalis (tropical clawed frog), 1649 nucleotides long. RefSeq lists it as uncharacterized. Lineage: Eukaryota; Metazoa; Chordata; Amphibia; Anura; Pipidae. The transcript has 3 exons. The record is from RefSeq and is a predicted model, not a curated record.